RNAcentral lists this ribosomal RNA (497 nucleotides) under uncultured bacterium. Its description in RNAcentral is "partial 16S ribosomal RNA". It matches the Rfam family "Bacterial small subunit ribosomal RNA", at positions 28 to 507 of the family's 1533-position model. The record is from RNAcentral.
GAUGAAUGCUGGCGGCGUGCCUAAUACAUGCAAGUCGAGCGAACAGACGAGGAGCUUGCUCCUCUGACGUUAGCGGCGGACGGGUGAGUAACACGUGGAUAACCUACCUAUAAGACUGGGAUAACUUCGGGAAACCGGAGCUAAUACCGGAUAAUAUAUUGAACCGCAUGGUUCAAUAGUGAAAGACGGUUUUGCUGUCACUUAUAGAUGGAUCCGCGCCGCAUUAGCUAGUUGGUAAGGUAACGGCUUACCAAGGCAACGAUGCGUAGCCGACCUGAGAGGGUGAUCGGCCACACUGGAACUGAGACACGGUCCAGACUCCUACGGGAGGCAGCAGUAGGGAAUCUUCCGCAAUAGGCGAAAGCCUGACGGAGCAACGCCGCGUGAGUGAUGAAGGUCUUCGGAUCGUAAAACUCUGUUAUUAGGGAAGAACAAAUGUGUAAGUAACUAUGCACGUCUUGACGGUACCUAAUCAGAAAGCCACGGCUAACUACGUG